CUAGCUGCUACACAUCGGGAAACACAAGGGGGUUGGAGAUAUUGAUUCAGCGCCUACUUGCUACUUGUUUAUGUAUAGUGAGGUGUCACAUUUAUAGCAUCUAACUCAGUCACUAACGAAGAACAAGAUGAACAAAUAUAGGAAGCAGAUAGCAGAGCAGUUCCUGAGUCAGGCCCUGGGCAUUAUCUGCCUGCUGACCGGAGAGGAAUAUGUUGUUGUGAAGAAGAGGCCCUCACACAGCAGCAUUAAUCAGCUGAAAGGAGAGGUGAG
Long non-coding RNA from Bombina bombina (fire-bellied toad), 270 nucleotides. RefSeq lists it as uncharacterized. The transcript has 3 exons. The record is from RefSeq and is a predicted model, not a curated record. NCBI's taxonomy places the organism in Eukaryota, Metazoa, Chordata, Amphibia, Anura, Bombinatoridae.